Pseudophryne corroboree (corroboree frog) is the source of this 713-nucleotide long non-coding RNA. RefSeq lists it as uncharacterized. The record is from RefSeq and is a predicted model, not a curated record. NCBI's taxonomy places the organism in Eukaryota, Metazoa, Chordata, Amphibia, Anura, Myobatrachidae. The transcript is spliced from 3 exons.
GUUCCACUGCCUCUCAUAAAAAGGGGUGCUGGCAUGAGACUAUGGUUGUAUAGGCCAGCUCGUGGCAGUUACGUCUGGCGGGACUGAUCCGGGUACCCUGGGGGGAGGUUAUAUAUAGAGGACUGAAGAAAAACCGUUAGUGGUGCCUGGCGCUGAGAGACCGAGAAGGAGCUACGCACGGCCAGGAAGAUUUCUUCAAAAACUGCGACACACCCGAGUAGCCUGCUUACCGUGGGGAGACUGACAGAGAUUCCCGGUGACUCCGGUGAAGUGAGUGAUGGAGCUCCAGCGGAGAUGUCCAGCCGUGGGCGGCGGCAGCAGCAUCAGUACCUCCCUCAGGGCGGAUCGGUGGAGGCGGCCAGGAACAGUGCACAGUCCGGCUGUGGGCGGCGGCAGCGGCAUCCUCCCUCAGGGAGAACCAAAGGAGGCCUUAAGUGACCAAGUCAUACAGAAGAGAAGAGCCGGAACUUCAGAACAAGAGACGAGCAGGAGUCCGAUAUGGUCUCACGGUGGAACAUCAUUCAGAUAUGAAAAGGAAAUAAGAUGACGUAUUUCUCAGUGAUACGAAUGGGAUGAGAAGGAAGCAAAACGCAGCUCAGAAAGGGAUUGCAUGUACGUCAGUACUCCCGUCUGGAAUAUUCCCCAUGUCCCUCCCAAGAGCGUCUUUCUCGCUCACAAUGUGCUUCUUAUUUGCAUAAAUAAAACAACUUGGA